This is a long non-coding RNA of Cavia porcellus (domestic guinea pig), 5112 nucleotides long. RefSeq lists it as uncharacterized. The transcript is spliced from 3 exons. The record is from RefSeq and is a predicted model, not a curated record. NCBI's taxonomy places the organism in Eukaryota, Metazoa, Chordata, Mammalia, Rodentia, Caviidae.
UUGCCGUGCCAAUCAGGACACAGCAGCAGCUGCAAGAAAUUCAAAUCUCGGUUUCCAGUGGUCCGGGCUCUAGCUUCCAUGCUGAGACCUUAUCGGUUCCUGUUAUAUCACCGGGAUUGUGUUUCCAGUUGGGUUCUCUUAGUUUAGUCCGUUCCUGGGUUGGCAAAGUAUAUCUCCUCUUGCUUAGGACUUCUCGCCUGGCACCUUUCCUGGAUUUUAAGUGUGGUUUCUCAGAGAGCCUCUGAAGCUGCUGCUAUCUAUCUGCCAUGUUCUCCCAGAAGUCAGGAAAAACUUCUUAACAAGGUGAUGUCUGAUUUGGGAUUUGGACAGUGAACUGGGUUCUGAUCAGUGGAAGAGGGUAAACAAGAAUCACAGGUGGAAGGGACAGUGCGUGUACAGGAUACAGACAGGGACACACACAGCGUGUCUCAGUAAGCAGGGGACGAAGAACAGUCCAGUUAGGUCUGGUUAGGUCCAGUGAGAUCCGGUUAGGUCAGGCAAGGACCAGGCUGGGAUGGCCCUGGAAAGUCAUGUUGGGAAGUCAGUUUGGGCAGAGUUGACUCUGAGAUGUUUAACUAAUGUUCUCCAGCAGCUGGCAGGCAGGAAGUCAGACUCUGAGCCCCAUGUAUCCUUCAGAACUUGGGACAAUGGGAAAAGAUAAGGAAAAGAGUCAGUAUGAGAAGAGCCAGGGAGGAAGCCGAGGCCACUGCUUCUGGGGUGCAGGAAAGGAGAGACAGAAAAAGCAGUCUGCAGGGGACCAGCAAGUGACCAGAUAGGUAGGAAGAGGCUUGGCAACAGCAGUGGUCAGGACAGGACAAGAGUCCUAAGUACCUCAGUUUACUUCCUUGAGGGUCAAAAGUAUUCUUGCAAAUGGCCUACUGUGUCCCCGGAGCUCCUGUUAAAGAAGCCAAGUGUCUGGAGUGAUGCAGUCUCACUUGCACCAGUCAGUAGCCUCCCUUCCUCUUGGUCUGCAGCUCGGGGCAGUGCUGGGGUGCACUGCACAGAACCUGCUUCAGGACAGGGGCACCCAUGAUUCAACAGCUCCGCCUGGGGGUUGAUGAUGGCUCACACGGCUGAGUUCCUCCCAGGGUCAGGCGAUCACCCAGGAUCACAUGGUUCAUCACCUCCCUCCAGUGGUAACCCAUGCAAAAGGGCUGAACGGGCUGGCCCCUCACCGCUAAGUGAGACAAUGCACAGGGUGUCCACAGCUCUGGACUCUCCAUGGGGUUGGCCAGGGUCUCUGAUGCCAUUUCCCAGCAGCACAGCUCUCUCUCUACCCCAUCCUCCUUUCUUUACUUCUUGACAGGUCUUGUUCCUGAAAUUACCUUCAGAAUCCUUCUGCUUCUAAAUCUCUAACUCAGACACUGCGUCCUGGGGAAUCCCAUUGAGUACAGCUGGUCCCCCACGGUGCUAUCCAGGACAGUCCAUGGCCGACUAGUGAUGGGGUUCUCUCUCUGGCAGUUGGUGGAAGACAGCAGUGUGGGCCACCACAGCUGAGCCACAGUUAAUGACUCUUUGGGUGAAUGGGGCUGGAGCACUCAUGGAAGGGUGUGGUAUAAUAACCUGGGUCCCUGAAAUGCCUGGAGGAGGCAGUAAUGAUUGGGACCACGGAACUGCAUGGCUCUCCUAUGCUGUCUCCUAUGCUGGAGAAAGAAUAAUGUGAGGCAGAAAGUCAUCAGCCUCCCAAAGACAAAAUGUGACAGUUGGAGACCUCCUUGGUGGUUCAUGCGUAGACUCAGUCUUGCAGCCACGGAGGGGAGGCCAAGAGCUGAAAGGGAAGGAAAGGGCAGAGGAGAGCAGGAUGUGGAGAGCAUUGAGGUACGCUGUGUCCAUGGACCAUCACCCCACAAUGCAUGUCACAGACAAGAGCUAAAAACUAAGUAAAAAUGCAGGAAGCGAACCUAGAGUUGGAGGGAGGAGAGAAGGGAAAUAGAAAGAGUUAAAAUAUGUGACAUACACAUACCCACAUCCUAAGAGGAACCUAAACAUUGUUGCCUGCGGACAGGUAAUAGUAAAAUUAAUACAAACAAAGCCGGCAGCCAGAUGGCAACAAAAGUUGAAAAUCAGGCCCAAGAUGAUAGUGGCAGCAAAGCUCUGCAGAAGAGUGGAUUCUCAGCCACCCAUGUCUGUGUGUGACAUCGAGAUCAGGGUCUUGACUGGGGUGGAGCGGAUCCCAGAAACUCUAGGUGGGGAAAUCUGAACGGAUAACUCCAUUUCCCCAGAUUCCCCUGGACCCUCUGAGCCAGAGAGGGGUCCAAGGCCAAAGAUCACACUGUGCUUGAAGGUGAUGUAUGGCAACAUGCACACUCUCCAUCACCUGCCCUUGGCUCCCCACCUGGUCAGAAUCCCUAGGGUCAGAGAAUAGAGGACCCAGCACCUCCCUCACCUGCCAGGGCAGGAAACUCAUUGGCCACUUGUUAAAGAAGCUGCAGGAUCUGGCCAAUGAGUACUGGCACAAGCCAGGACAAUCUGUGUAACAGUGGAGCUGAAGGAUGCUGGAAUGAUGAGAGAGAAAUAGUAAGGUUGGAUAAAGAGGAAUUUAUGAAUGGGGGAGCAUUCUCCUAUAACACAGGAUUCUACACUCUGGCAAACGGUGUUACCUUGCUGUUGGGAUGGUUUUGAGGAAGCUUGGAAAGUGCAAUGGAAAGACAGACCACUCUGGAAGACAGUGAAGGAUUAAAGGACUCAGGUAAGUGUGCUUUAUUUCUAGAGGGUGAGACCACCUGGUGCCUGGUUCCAGAUGACAUCCUAUCAAACCGAUGCAAAUGCACUGGUGGAAAAGGUGCCCAACUUACCGAGAAACUCAGCGGUGAAUCUUCAGUGGGCUGGGGUCACAGAUCUAUGAUAUGCCAGGAAGUCACUGGAGAUAACAGGCUCCUAAAGUAGCAGAGAUCACCUAGUAGUCCGCAAACCAUUGGAAGCACAGUGGGUGGAGUUAUCGUAGUAAGCAGCAAGCCCAGUGUUUGCCUCAGGGGAGUCUGACACACAGAGAGCUCCAGGCCGUCAAGAGUUUAGGGUGGAUGGGUAACUAGUGCGGAUUUGACAAGCACCCUGAGAUUGUAGUAAUGUGUUACCAGUUCUGCCACGGGGCACAAAGCAAGGAGCACCUCGAUGUCUCCUUCGGGUUCCCAUCCAGUCUCCCAGCCUCUGGUCUCUGCCUGCGCUGGCCAAACUCAGCUGAAGCCAGUGGGCACAGGAGACGGGGACAGGCCCGUGGUGGCAGACAGGAGGGUGAGGAAAGGUGAGGAUGGGACUGAGGACGAUCAGGACCGAAAGUCCUGCAGUAGUCAACAGCAGGGAUUAGUUCUAUUGAGUUCACAAUGAGACACAGAUGGGUUACACUCAUCUAUUUACUAAUGCUUCCCCCUCCCGCUAGCACACAUAACAGAGUUCUGAAACCCAAGAGGGAAAAAUGACAUUUUGGAAUCUUUAGCUAUUAAUAAAAAUUAAUACAGAUAUUUCCACCUAGGAAAUUAAUAAAUGGUUUCUUUAAAAUAACAUGAACUGGGUGGUGAUGCGUACCUGCAAUCCCAGCACUUGGGAGGCUAAGGCAGUAGGAUUGCCACAAGUUCGAGGCCAGCCUGGGCUACAGAGUGAGUUCAAGGCCAGUCUGAAUUACACAGCUAGACCCUGUCUUAAAAAAAGCAGGUAUCUCAACUUACAUCUUACCAAAGUGGGUAGUAAACGAGCAUAGGAAAAGGUACUCAAUCACAUGUCAUUAAAAAAUUAAAAUUAGGACAACAGUGAGGUCCAGCUGCUGGAUGUCUCAGUGUUCAGUGGUUCUGGGCUCUUUCUGCCCCACCCAAAGAACUGGCUGGGAAAUUGAUAAAACAGGUAAACAUAGCUUUCAUUUAAAGUAUAGGAAGAAAAGGAAAGAGUUAAGAAAAGAGAAGAACCAGAAAAAACCCGCAAGGAGGAGCCAAAUGUAAACUAUGGAUCCUGGUCGAUAACGAUAAAUUGAUACAGGUUCACUCUGUGUAACAAAUACAGCCUCCAGCGAGGCAGGUGGAUGGUGCAGAGACACCCACACAUAUGGGUGGGACAUAUGGGAACUCUCAGCUUUCUGUUCCAUUUACGGGGAACCUAAAAUUGCUCCUAAAAGUCUGUUCAAAGUUUUAUCAUCUGCAUUUGCUCGGGUUGUUUCAAGAGGGAAAGUUCUCAUUUCGGGCCGGUGAGAAUCACCAGUGCCACUCACAUCCUAGGGCUCCUCCUUCCUGAUCAGAUGCUGGGGUGACGGUCCCCAAGCCCUGGCUGGGAGCGGACAAUGAAAUGUGACUCAUGUCACUUCUGCUACAAGUCUUCCAGGGCCAGUGUGGAACCUGCCGGGUUUCUUCUUCGCACAGAAAUGACAAGAGCGGUCCUUUAGAGGAAAGGUCGGGGAGGGCCUUUGGGAUCAGGGCCCUUCCUAGAGUGGCUGUGUCCCAGGCUGGUCUUGAACUUGCGACGACCCUCCUGCCUCAGCCUCCCGAGUGCUGGGAUUACAGGCUUGGUCUCCAGGUGGGUGCUACUGGAGGACAGUGGGGUCUGUAGGGGAUGGCCAGUGGAUGUCACAGAGCCUUGAGGCCAGUUCUCAUAAACUGGACGGUGUUGUUCCAGAGAGGUAAGUUAGUAAAUUAUAAAUUUAUGUUGUUUCAAUUUACCAAGUUUGUAAUUUGGCACCAGAGUCACAAAAAAUUAACACAACAUCAUUAUGGACUUUAUAGUGCUCCAGAUUGGUUCUACAUAAUUGCAUUUUUUUUUUCUUUUUGAGCAGGGUCUUGCUAUGUAGUUCAGGCUGGCUUUGAGCUCACUAUGUAGUCUAGACUGGGCUGGAACUCAUGACAAUCAUCCUGCCUUAGCCUCCCAAGUGCUGGGAUCACAGGUAUGCACCACCAUGCCUGGCAUAAUUUGGUACUUUAUGUCAUGCUUACUAAUUGGGUAUGAAUAAAUGGUGUAUUACAAAUUCUUGGCAGAUAGGAACUGGAAGUUGUUUUCACUCCUUCCCUCCCCCUAUUCUUUUUUUUUUGGUCUUUUUGAGACAGGGUCUCUCUAUGCAGUUCAGGCUGGCCUUGAGUUCACUUUGAAGCCCAGGCUGGUCUCAAACUCGAAACGAUUUCCACCUGCCUCAGCUUC